GGUCCUAAGGUAGCGAAAUUCCUUGUCGGGUAAGUUCCGACCUGCACGAAUGGCGUAAUGAUGGCCACACUGUCUCCUCCAGAGACUCAGCGAAGUUGAAAUGUUUGUGAUGAUGCAAUCUCCCCGCGGAAAGACGGAAAGACCCCAUGAACCUUUACUGUAGCUUUGUAUUGGACUUUGAACGGAUCUGUGUAGGAUAGGUGGGAGGCUUUGAAGCCAGGACGCUAGUUCUGGUGGAGCCGACGUUGAAAUACCACCCUGGUGCGUUUGAGGUUCUAACCUAGGUCCCUAAUCGGGAUCGGGGACAGUGCAUGGUAGGCAGUUUGACUGGGGCGGUCUCCUCCCAAAGCGUAACGGAGGAGUUCGAAGGUACGCUAGGUACGGUCGGACAUCGUGCUAAUAGUGCAAUGGCAUAAGCGUGCUUAACUGCGAGACUGACAAGUCGAGCAGAUGCGAAAGCAGGACAUAGUGAUCCGGUGGUUCUGUAUGGAAGGGCCAUCGCUCAACGGAUAAAAGGUACUCUGGGGAUAACAGGCUGAUACCGCCCAAGAGUUCAUAUCGACGGCGGUGUUUGGCACCUCGAUGUCGGCUCAUCUCAUCCUGGGGCUGUAGUCGGUCCCAAGGGUAUGGCUGUUCGCCAUUUAAAGAGGUACGUGAGCUGGGUUUAAAACGUCGUGAGACAGUUUUGUCCCUAUCUUCCGUGGGCGCUGCAGAUUUGAGGAAGCCUGCUCCUAGUACGAGAGGACCGGAGUGGACACACCUCUGGUGUACCUGUUGUCACGCCAGUGGCAUCGCAGGGUAGCUACGUGUGGAAGAGAUAACCGCUGAAAGCAUCUAAGCGGGAAACUCGUUUCAAGAUGAGAUCUGCCGGGGCCUUCGAGCCCCCUGAAGGGUCGUUGUAGACCACGACGUUGAUAGGCUGGGUGUGGAAGCGCAGUAAUGCGUUAAGCUAACCAGUACUAAUUGCCCGUGCGGCUUGACCCUAUAACUUUG
Molecule: ribosomal RNA, 993 nt
Rfam family: Bacterial large subunit ribosomal RNA